Molecule: long non-coding RNA, 859 nt
Filed under: Gorilla gorilla gorilla (western lowland gorilla)
Lineage: Eukaryota; Metazoa; Chordata; Mammalia; Primates; Hominidae
Description: lncRNA (ENSGGOG00000044525.1)
Source: RNAcentral
AGUCCCCUUGGCGCUUGUCAGGCCUGUGGUAGGCCAGGGGUUGGAAGCGAGUCGCCCUCAGCUGCCACUGCCCUACUUGUUCUAGGGUUCCCAUGUGACCAGGUGGCCGGGCUUCUACAUCCUGCAGUGGAAAUUCCACAGCAUGCCUGCGUGCGCCGCCAGCAGCCUUCCCCGGGUGGACGACGUGCUCGCGUCCCUGCAGGUCUCUUCGCACAAGUGUAAAGUGAUGUACUACACCGAGGUGAUCGGCUCGGAGGAUUUCAGAGGUUCCAUGACGAGCCUGGAGUCCAGCCACAGCGGCUUCUCCCAGCUGAGUGCCGCCACCACCUCCUCCAGCCAGUCCCACUCCAGCUCCAUGAUCUCCAGAUGGCGAUUUUGCUGACAGCUGCCAAGAAAAUGCUUCACUCAACAGUCCUCAUGUGCCCAGAGAUGUUUAUAGAACUGUUUGAAUUGCAGCCAUCCCCUGCCCCCUCCCAGGCUGAAGAUCUGUUCUUUUUAAGUUGAUUCGGGAGUGGCAUUCUUUUAUACCCAAAGAGUUUAGUGCAUCUUGAAGAGCUCAAAGCACAUGACCGCACAAAUGCUUACAGGGUUUCCUCCCGAGUAAUCCAGUCUCACUCCCCUUGUAAGGGAAUUCUGGGGCAGCUAUGGUUUGAGUAUGCAGUUUGCAUCGUGUUUCUACCUUUAGUACCUUGCCACUCUUUUAAAACGCUGCUGUCAUUUCCCAUUUCUUAGUACUAAUGAUUCUUUGAUUCUCCCUCUAUUAUGUCUUAAUUCACUUUCCUUCCUAAAUUUGUUAUUUGCAUAUCAAAUUCUGUAAAUGUUUUGUAAACAUAUUACCUCACUUGGUAAUACAAUACUG